This 344-nucleotide ribosomal RNA is filed under the name Lagocephalus spadiceus (half-smooth golden pufferfish). Its description in RNAcentral is "partial 12S ribosomal RNA". It matches the Rfam family "Bacterial small subunit ribosomal RNA", at positions 408 to 916 of the family's 1533-position model. The record is from RNAcentral. Lineage: Eukaryota; Metazoa; Chordata; Actinopteri; Tetraodontiformes; Tetraodontidae.
UUGCCAGCCGCCGCGGUUGCAAAAAGCUGUACGCCAGCACUAGGAAGGCGGAGUUCUGCCAGCCGCCGCGGUUAUACGAGAGGCCCAAGUUGUUAACCCUCGGCGUAAAGAGUGGUUAGAGUACCCCUACAGACUAAGGCCGAACACCUUCAGGGCAGUUAUACGCUUUCGAAGGCAUGAAGCACAUCCACGAAAGUAGCCUUACCCCACUUGAAUCCACGAAAGCUAAGAUACAAACUGGGAUUAGAUACCCCACUAUGCUUAGCCCUAAACAACGACCCCACCUACAAUCAAACUCCGCCUGGGUACUACGAGCAUUAGCUUAAAACCCAAAGACUUGGCGG